UCUUAGUGGGGAGGAGCUGAGGUGGAGAGUUUUAGUAGAUGGGAGGUGGGGGUGGUGGGGACUUGUAUACGUAUGGGUUUACAGGUGGGGGAGGAGACUUGUAGACGUAGGGAUUAUGCGGCGGCGGAGACCAGUAUACCGGAUGUGGUGGUGGUGGCCGUGGAGAUGGAUGA
Ipomoea nil (Japanese morning glory) is the source of this 173-nucleotide long non-coding RNA. RefSeq lists it as uncharacterized. Lineage: Eukaryota; Viridiplantae; Streptophyta; Magnoliopsida; Solanales; Convolvulaceae. The record is from RefSeq and is a predicted model, not a curated record. The transcript is spliced from 2 exons.